This 74-nucleotide transfer RNA is filed under the name Streptomyces phage Stella. RNAcentral's name for it is "tRNA-Glu". It matches the Rfam family "tRNA". Rfam says of the family: Transfer RNA (tRNA) molecules are approximately 80 nucleotides in length. Their secondary structure includes four short double-helical elements and three loops (D, anti-codon, and T loops). Lineage: Duplodnaviria; Heunggongvirae; Uroviricota; Caudoviricetes. The record is from RNAcentral.
GCUCCGGUCGUCUACUGGUUGUGGAUACUCGGUUCUCACCCGAGAGGUCAGGGUUCAAUCCCCUGUCGGAGUAC